UACGUAGGGGGCAAGCGUUGUCCGGAAUCAUUGGGCGUAAAGCGCGCGUAGGUGGCCCCAUAAGUCCGCUGUGAAAGUCAAAGGCUCAACCUUUGAAAGCCGGUGGAUACUGUGGGACUAGAGUACGGAAGAGGCGAGUGGAAUUCCUGGUGUAGCGGUGGAAUGCGCAGAUAUCAGGAGGAACACCAAUAGCGAAGGCAGCUCGCUGGGACGUUACUGACACUGAGGCGCGAAAGCGUGGGGAGCGAACAGG
Molecule: ribosomal RNA, 253 nt
Filed under: uncultured bacterium
Lineage: Bacteria
Description: partial 16S ribosomal RNA
Rfam family: Bacterial small subunit ribosomal RNA
Source: RNAcentral